RNAcentral lists this ribosomal RNA (594 nucleotides) under uncultured bacterium. RNAcentral's name for it is "bacterial SSU rRNA". It matches the Rfam family "Bacterial small subunit ribosomal RNA", at positions 262 to 856 of the family's 1533-position model. The record is from RNAcentral.
GGCUCACCAGGUACAGGAUGUCUAGGGGUUCGAGGGGGAGGUUCCCCCACACGGGAAUUGGGCCCCGUUCCAGAUUCUUACGGGAGGCACCAGUGAGGAAUAUUGCACAUGGGUAUGAACAGCAAUCCACCAAUGUCGCGCCAAGGUUACGGUCUUAUGGAUUGUAAACUUCUUUUUUGUGAAAGUAAUUCGGGGCACGUGUGCAUCGUUGCGAGUACCCUAGGAAUAAGCAUCGGCUAACUCCGUGCCAGCAGCCGCGGUAAUACGGAGGAUCCAAGCGUUUUCCGGAUUUAUUGGGUUUAAAGGGUACGUAGGCGGAUUAUAAAGUUAACGGGAAAACUCACGGGUUCAACCUGCAACGUGCCGUUAAAAAUGCUUAUUAUGAAACAGGAUAGAGAUGGAGGAAUGUGUAGGGGAGCGGGGAAAUGCAAAGAAUUUACCCAAAACCCCGAUUGGGAAGGCCUCUUACAAAGCCUAGAUGGACGGUGAGGCAGGAAAGUGGGGGGGUCAAACCGGAUUAAAAACCCUGGUAGUCCAAUACUGUAAACGAUGAUAACUCGCUGCGGGCGAUAUAUAGCCGGUGGCCCAGCGAAA